GGCGAAAGGGUGAGUAACGCGUGAGCAAUCUACCUCUAAGUUCGGAAUAACCCCGCGAAAGUGGAGCUAAUACCGGAUGUGGUACCUCGUCGCAUGGCGAGGCUAUUAAAGGUGGGGAUCCUUCGGGACCUGCUGCUUGGAGAGGAGCUCGCGUCCCAUCAGCUUGUUGGUAGGGUAACGGCCUACCAAGGCAUACGGGUAGCCGGCCUGAGAGGGUGACCGGCCACACUGGGACUGAGACACUGCCCAGACUCCUACGGGAGGCUGCAGUCGAGGAUCAUUCGCAAUGCGCGAAAGCGUGACGAUGCGACGCUGCGUGGAGGAUGACGGCCCUAGGGUUGUAAACUCCUGUCAUGAGGGAACAGCCGGCAAAGGGAUAAUACCCCUUCGCUCCGAUGGUACCUCAAGAGGAAGCCACGGCUAACUCUGUGCCAGCAGCCGCGGUAAUACAGAGGUGGCGAGCGUUGUUCGGAUUUACUGGGCGUAAAGGGUGCGUAGGUGGUUUCGUAUGUCGGAUGUGAAAGCCCGGGGCUCAACCCCGGAACUGCAUUCGAAACUGCGGGACUAGAGUACAGGAUGGGAGAGCGGAAUUCUUGGUGUAGCGGUGAAAUGCGUUGAGAUCAAGAAGAACACCGGCGGCGAAGGCGGCUCUCUGGAAUGUUACUGACACUCAUGCACGAAAGCUGGGGUAGCAAACAGGAUUAGAUACCCUGGUAGUCCCAGCUGUAAACUGUGUGCACUUGGUGUUGGCGGUAUUGACCCCGCCAGUGCCGGAGUUAACGCGUUAAGUGCACCGCCUGAGGAGUACGAUCGCAAGGUUAAAACUCAAAGAAAUUGACGGGGGCCCGCACAAGCGGAGGAGCAUGUGGCUUAAUUCGAUGCAACGCGAAGAACCUUACCUGGGUUUGACAUCGGAGAGGCUUGCCUCUAGCGCGUGAAAGCGCGUUAACCAGACAGGUGCUGCAUGGCUGUCGUCAGUUCGUGCCGUGAGGUGUUGGGUUAAGUCCCGCAACGAAAGCAAUCCUUAUGUUUAGUUGCCACCCCCGAGCAAUCGGGGCGCACUUUAGACAGACUGCCCGUUCAAGCGGGAGGAAGGUGGGG
RNAcentral lists this ribosomal RNA (1101 nucleotides) under uncultured organism. RNAcentral's name for it is "bacterial SSU rRNA". It matches the Rfam family "Bacterial small subunit ribosomal RNA", at positions 97 to 1178 of the family's 1533-position model. The record is from RNAcentral.